Molecule: long non-coding RNA, 931 nt
Filed under: Cavia porcellus (domestic guinea pig)
Lineage: Eukaryota; Metazoa; Chordata; Mammalia; Rodentia; Caviidae
Description: lncRNA (ENSCPOG00000038033.1)
Source: RNAcentral
UCAGGGGAUUGGAUGAUUAUCUCUCUUCCAAAAGAGCACACAUGUGUUACAGUUGGAAGCCCUGUCUCUUCCAGGUUGGUGACUGCAUCACAAUCUUCAGCUUCUGCAUGGGCAAAGGAACAGCAGUUCAAGAUCAUUGCUUGCAGAUUUAUUGCCUACUCUGACUUUCCCUUUGGACCUUCUGCCGCCGGUCCCCCACAGUUCUAUCAUCUACCACGCUCUCAAAUGCUGCCGUGGAUCACACACUGAGGAUCGUUGCCACAAAUCAGUUAAUCGCUUCACUUAGUGGGUUUCUUUCCCAGGAGAGGGGAUUGUGUGUUUCUUCUAUGUGUGUUUCUUCUCGCAGUCUGUGAUGGGUGGCUUCCACCUCUGCACUGGACUGAGGCACUUCCAUUCUGUCCCACACAGCUGUCUCUAACAUGGUUAGCAUUUUAGUAAAGGAAACAGCAUCCACACAAGUGUUGAGUAAUCCUGUCUCUAAGAAAUGGAGAGAGCAGAUACAGACAGCUUGCUCACUAGAGGUGAAACAGUGGUGUCCAACAGAAUCUGUUUCUCCCCUUUGUCAACGCUUCCCCGAGAGACCUCAGGUGCUGUUUCUCUCUCCUUAAGUGUCCUGCACCAGCAUGGCAAACUUGGGAAGAUGUAAGAGAACUAGGUCUGUAGAUGAUCUAAACCCGGCACCUGCUCACAACACAGCCCAGUAGAUAUGUGUUGGUUUUGUGCUUUUCUCUCUAUCUCUGUCUUUAUCUCUGUCUCUGCCUGUGUCUGUCUGUCUGUCUCUCUUUCUCUCUCUCUUUCUUUCUCUCUCUCCUGCCCUCCUUCUCUCCUGUAUCUAUCUAUAUAAAUGGAUUUUCCUGUGUUGUCCAAGUUGGCCUUGAAUUUAGGAUCAGGCUUCUACCUCAGUCUUCCCAGGCAUUUGGGUCACAGGUAC